UGAGGAAUAUUGGUCAAUGGGCGAAAGCCUGAACCAGCCAUGCCGCGUGAAGGAAUAAGGCCCUAUGGGUCGUAAACUUCUUUUGUAUCGGAGCAAUAAGGGUCACGAGUGAUCCGAUGAGAUUACGAUACGAAUAAGCAUCGGCUAACUCCGUGCCAGCAGCCGCGGUAAUACGGAGGAUGCAAGCGUUAUCCGGAUUUAUUGGGUUUAAAGGGUGCGCAGGCGGCGCGAAAAGUCAGCGGUCAAAGUUCCGGGCUCAACCCGGUGACGCCGUUGAAACUUUCGUGCUGGAGUUCGUGCGAGGGAGGCGGAAUGCGUUGUGUAGCGGUGAAAUGCAUAGAUAUGACGCAGAACCCCGAUUGCGAAGGCAGCUUUCCAGCACGCGACUGACGCUGAGGC
Molecule: ribosomal RNA, 399 nt
Filed under: uncultured bacterium
Lineage: Bacteria
Description: bacterial SSU rRNA
Rfam family: Bacterial small subunit ribosomal RNA
Source: RNAcentral